UGGACAGGAACUAGAGAACAAUUGAGCUAU
RNAcentral lists this non-coding RNA (30 nucleotides) under Cricetulus griseus (Chinese hamster). Lineage: Eukaryota; Metazoa; Chordata; Mammalia; Rodentia; Cricetidae. The record is from RNAcentral.